GUAGGUGAACCUGCGGAAGGAUCAUUAACAAAUCCAUCGUUGUUCAUCCGUGCAUGCAUUCUGGGAUUGUGAUUGGUGGGACAGCAGUCUCGCUUGCUGCAUUCCCGGGAUGUGUGCAGGGAGGGAUGACACUUGCUCCAUGUGUGCACGUUCACUCUGCACACGUUGACACAUUUCUACGAAUCAUCUGAUUGUUGUUGUUGGAACUGAUAUGAAUAACUUUUAACAAUGGAUCUCUAGGCUCUUGCAU
RNAcentral lists this unclassified non-coding RNA (250 nucleotides) under plant metagenome. RNAcentral describes it as "partial contains small subunit ribosomal RNA, internal transcribed spacer 1, and 5.8S ribosomal RNA". The record is from RNAcentral.